Molecule: non-coding RNA, 83 nt
Filed under: Colwellia sp.
Lineage: Bacteria; Pseudomonadati; Pseudomonadota; Gammaproteobacteria; Alteromonadales; Colwelliaceae
Description: c-di-GMP sequence
Rfam family: c-di-GMP-I riboswitch aptamer
About the family: GEMM was predicted in a large-scale screen for bacterial structured RNA regulatory elements. Genes associated with GEMM are involved in a diverse array of functions, including chemotaxis regulation, signal transduction, secretion and chitin.
Source: RNAcentral
GCUCAACAAGGGCAAAACCAGUGAAAACUGGCGACGCAAAGUUACCGAUCUAAGGGGCAACCUAUGAUAGCGGAACUGCAAAA